UGGGGAAUAUUGCACAAUGGGGGAAACCCUGAUGCAGCGACGCCGCGUGAGCGAAGAAGGCUUUCGAGUCGUAAAGCUCUGUCCUAUGAGAAGAUAAUGACGGUAUCAUAGGAGGAAGCCCUGGCUAAAUACGUGCCAGCAGCCGCGGUAAUACGUACGGGGCGAGCGUUGUCCGGCAUUAUUGGGCGUCAAGGGUACGUAGGCGGUUUUUUAAGUCAGGUGUCAAAGCGUGGAGCUUAACUCCAUUAAGCACUUGAAACUGAAAGACUUGAGUGAAGGAGAGGAAAGUGGAAUUCCUAGUGUAGCGGUGAAAUGCGUAGAUAUUAGGAGGAAUACCGGUGGCGAAGGCGACUUUCUGGACUUUUACUGACGCUAAGGUACGAAAGCGUGGGGAGCAAACAGG
RNAcentral lists this ribosomal RNA (403 nucleotides) under Verrucomicrobiota bacterium. RNAcentral's name for it is "Verrucomicrobia bacterium partial 16S ribosomal RNA". It matches the Rfam family "Bacterial small subunit ribosomal RNA", at positions 355 to 776 of the family's 1533-position model. The record is from RNAcentral. Lineage: Bacteria; Pseudomonadati; Verrucomicrobiota.